UGCCCAAGAGAUCGGGAUAACACCUGGAAACAGAUGCUAAUACCGGAUAACAACAGAUGAUGCCUAUCAACUGUUUAAAAGAUGGUUCUGCUAUCACUAUUGGAUGGACCUGCGGUGCAUUAGCUAGUUGGUAGGGUAACGGCCUACCAAGGCGAUGAUGCAUAGUCGAGUUGAGAGACUGAUCGGCCACAUUGGGACUGAGACACGGCCCAAACUCCUACGGGAGGCAGCAGUG
Molecule: ribosomal RNA, 235 nt
Filed under: uncultured Lactobacillus sp.
Lineage: Bacteria; Bacillati; Bacillota; Bacilli; Lactobacillales; Lactobacillaceae
Description: partial 16S ribosomal RNA
Rfam family: Bacterial small subunit ribosomal RNA
Source: RNAcentral